UGAUGCCAAUCUGCGAAUGGAUUUCCACAACAAUGGAUCCAAUGAGUGGUUGGGCUUUCGACUGGAAAGCCGAGUCAAUUCACGAGAUGUUGCAAGAUAAUAUCCCCGGUACCAAACAUUUAGCCAGCCUAGAGGAAUCAAAAGUAGUGUGGUUGGCCAAGAAUAUUGGCAUGUGAUGAUGAUGAUGCCAAGCAGGGUGACAAACAUGGCCAAAGUGAGAUUCAUAAAAAACGGGAGGAACACGUCAAUGUUAGUCUGAUCAUUAGAUGCCCGACUCAGAAUUCUUCCAGAAGGUGUUGUGUCAAAAAAGGACAUAGGAGCGUGCAGUA
Molecule: unclassified non-coding RNA, 329 nt
Filed under: Hevea brasiliensis (rubber tree)
Lineage: Eukaryota; Viridiplantae; Streptophyta; Magnoliopsida; Malpighiales; Euphorbiaceae
Source: RNAcentral